GGGGAGGGAGGUGUGCAGGCUUGGUUGCUGGGGCCACCCAGAUGGCUCAGGAAGGGAAGGAAUGAGCGUGAGGUGGGUGUGGCUGCGGAGAGCACAGCCAGUGGUGGGUUUUCUUGGGGCCCAGAGAGACGUGAGCAGAGAUGGAGGCCCCUCUCGCCCAGCCCCCGCACACACACUAGGACCUUUCUUCA
Oryctolagus cuniculus (rabbit) is the source of this 191-nucleotide non-coding RNA. The record is from Rfam. NCBI's taxonomy places the organism in Eukaryota, Metazoa, Chordata, Mammalia, Lagomorpha, Leporidae.